AGAGUUUGAUCCUGGCUCAGAAUCAACGCUGGCGGCGUGCCUAACACAUGCAAGUCGUACGCGAAAGCGGCCUUCGGGCCGUGAGUAGAGUGGCAAACGGGUGAGUAACGCGUGGGUGACCUGCCUUCGAGUGGGGGAUAACCUUCCGAAAGGGGGGCUAAUACCGCAUAACAUCCCGCCCUUGGAUGGGUGGUGAUCAAAGUCGGGGAUCGCAAGACCUGGCGCUUGAAGAGGGACCCGCGUCCGAUUAGCUUGUUGGUGGGGUAGCGGCCUACCAAGGCGUCUAUCGGUAGCCGGCCUGAGAGGGCGGACGGCCACACUGGGACUGAGACACGGCCCAGACUCCUACGGGAGGCAGCAGUGGGGAAUUGUUCGCAAUGGGCGCAAGCCUGACGACGCAACGCCGCGUGGAGGACGAAGAUCUUCGGGUUGUAAACUCCUGUCGAGCGGGACGAACAGCGUGCGGGUUAAUACCCCGUGCGCCUGACGGUACCGUUAAAGGAAGCCCCGGCUAACUCCGUGCCAGCAGCCGCGGUAAUACGGGGGGGGCAAGCGUUGUUCGGAAUUACUGGGCGUAAAGGGCUCGUAGGCGGCCAGCCAAGUCGGACGUGAAAUCCCUCGGCUUAACCGGGGAACUGCGUCCGAUACUGGUUGGCUUGAAGCCGGGAGAGGGAUGCGGAAUUCCAGGUGUAGCGGUGAAAUGCGUAGAUAUCUGGAGGAACACCGGUGGCGAAGGCGGCAUCCUGGACCGGUCUUGACGCUGAGGAGCGAAAGCUAGGGGAGCAAACGGGAUUAGAUACCCCGGUAGUCCUAGCCCUAAACGAUGAAUGCUUGGUGUAGCGGGUAUCGAUCCCUGCUGUGCCGAAGCUAACGCAU
This 876-nucleotide ribosomal RNA is filed under the name marine metagenome. RNAcentral describes it as "bacterial SSU rRNA". It matches the Rfam family "Bacterial small subunit ribosomal RNA", at positions 8 to 860 of the family's 1533-position model. The record is from RNAcentral.